AAAUAAACGUGUUAUAAUAAAUACUUUAGAGAAGAGAGCAGAUUUUACUACACAAAAUGGUAUUUAUAGAAUAAAUCAACUAAAGUCGAGUGACAGUGGCCAGUAUCGACUCGAAGUUUUUGUAGAUGGGGGACAAAAAGAAGAACGGAUACUAAAAUUGUCUUUUCAAGGUCAGUUGUUUCUUUUUGGUUUGUCCAUAUAGAGUAAAGUUUACACUCAGAUUAUAUAUAAUCUGUAAACAAUCUCUUACACAGCUCCAGUAUCUUCUGUCCAGCUCGUCCCUACAUGUCUUUCUAUGGGGGAGAAGAAAGUUUCCUGCUCCUCUAAAGGGGACAGUCUUCUCUACAGCUGGACUCUGGAUGGACGCCCUCUGACAGACUCUGACCUCGUCCCAAAGGGCAGCAACACCAACAAUGUCCACCUGAAACUACAAACUGUAGGAAAACUGGUCUGUCAUGUCCAAAACAAAGUCAGCGAAAGCUCUGGUGAAGUGAAGUUAACCACUUGUGGUGAGUUAAAAAAAAGAUGAACGUAGAACAGGAAUAAUCAAAGCAUGCCUGAUAAAGUGCACGUCUUUGUUCCCAGGUUACAUCUUCAUAAACUGCACUUUGUCCAAUGGGACAGACAUAUUGCAGUGGGUGCUUGAGGCCACUAACACGUUGUGUGUUGACCCAACAACAGCCCCUAUGGGUGUGGAAAAUCACUGUGAUGGCAGACAGAAUAACGCUCAGUGUUAUGCAGCUUUGGAUGGAUCUAUAUUCAUCAGGCUGAUGGACAGCGCUGUAGAAAAUCAUACAUACAACUGGAAUAAAGAUAAAAGUAGAUUAUUGGUAGUGAAUAAUAAACGUGUUAUAACAAAUACUUUAGAGAAGAGAGCAGAUUUUACUACACAAAAUGGUAUUUAUAGAAUAAAUCAACUAAAGUCGAGUGACAGUGGCCAGUAUCGACUCGAAGUUUUUGUAGAUGGGGGAAAAAAAGAAGAAGAACGGAUACUAAAUUUGUCUGUUCAAGCUCCAGUAUCUUCUGUCCAGCUCGUCCCUACAUGUCUUUCUAUGGGGGAGAAGAAAGUUUCCUGCUCCUCUAAAGGGGACAGUCUUCUCUACAGCUGGACUCUGGAUGGACGUCCUCUGACAGACUCUGACCUCGUCCCAAAGGGCAGCAACACCAACAUUAUUCACCUGAAACUACAAACUGUAGGAAAACUGGUCUGUCAUGUCCAAAACAAUGUCAGCAAAAGCUCUGGUGAAGUGACGUUAACCACUUGUGGUUACAUCUUCAUAAACUGCACUUUGUCCAAUGGGACAGACAUAUUGCAGUGGGUGCUUGAGGCCACUAACACGUUGUGUGUUGACCCAACAACAGCCCCUAUGGGUGUGGAAAAUCACUGUGAUGGCAGACAGAAUAACGCUCAGUGUUAUGCAGCUUUGGAUGGAUCUAUAUUCAUCAGGCUGAUGGACAGCGCUGUAGAAAAUCAUAUAUACAUGUGGUUUAAAUAUACAAGUAAAUUAUUGGUAGUGAAUAAUAAACGUGUUAUAAUGAAUACUUUAGAGAAGAGAGCAGAUUUUACUACACAAAAUGGUAUUUAUAGAAUAAAUCAACUAAAGUCGAGUGACAGUGGCCAGUAUCGACUUGAAUAUUUUGUAGAUGGGGGAAAAAAAGAAGAACGGAAACUAAAUUUGUCUGUUCAAGCUCCAGUAUCUUCUGUCCAGCUCGUCCCUACAUGUCUUUCUAUGGGGGAGAAGAAAGUUUCCUGCUCCUCUAAAGGGGACAGUCUUCUCUACAGCUGGACUCUGGAUGGACGCCCUCUAACAGACUCUGACCUCGUCCCAAAGGGCAACAACACCAACAAUGUCCACCUGAAACUACAAACUAUAGGAAAACUGGUCUGUCAUGUCCAAAACAAAGUCAGCAAAAGCUCUGGUGAAGUGACGUUAACCACUUGUGGUUACAUCUUCAUAAACUGCACUUUGUCCAAUGGGACAGACAUAUUGCAGUGGGUGGUUGAGGACACUAACACGUUGUGUGUUGACCCAACAACAGCCCCUAUGGGUAAGGAGCCUCCCAUUGAUUCAGGGACUGUGGCUCUGAUUGGGAUUUCACUCUCUGCUCUGGUCUGUAUCCUCCUUUUGGCUUUAGUCGUGAUCUGUGUUCAGAAGAAAAAGCCAAACAAACCAAAAGAACCACAGGAUGACCAGGAAUUAACCUACGCGGCUGUCAAAGUGGUUCAGAGGCCAGGGACGCUAGAGGUGCACAGGUCAGAGGUGGAGGUGGAGUACGGCGAAGUCAAGUUUUCACAGCAACCUCGACAGAUUCAAGUACCGCCAGAUGACUGUGUGUAUGCCAGAGUCUAUAAAUGAAAACAGGGCGUGGCUCUUUUUAUCACAGACAGAGGGCACGACAUGAUCUCAGGUUGCUUGAAGGGCUUCCCUGUUUAAUGAUGAAAAAUCUGGGUGUCACCGUUGAGAGGACUCCAAACCCACAUCAAUAAUACUUUUUACCCCCUCUACCACUGCCAUUCUUGUACAUACUCUUGUCAAUCACUGAAACUCCUGAAACGCCAAUGUCCAGAAUUAGAGUUACCUGCUCCACUGAUGUUCUUUAAAAAUUUGCAUCAACUACAAAAUCCUCCUUCUGACAUUUAAGGUCAUCUUAAGGUCAUCUUCAAUGUCACCCCUCUAUAUCAGUCCAGACUGACCCACACCAUCAGCUCACUAAUGUUAUUCAAAAUGAAGCUAAAAACCCAUCUGUUCAGGAUGGCCUUUCUCUCUGGGAUCACAACUGCUGUAUCUAAUCUUGAUAUGUUGAAUGUAAUGUUCUUGCACUGCCUUUUCACAAUAAUUUUAUUGUAAACAUUCCAUGUAUAGUGACCCUAAGUGCUAGAAAGAAGCCUUUUAUGAAAAUAAUGACAAUAAUAAUGUAAUGAAAAGGAUGUGAAUAUUGUUUUUGUUUGUAUUCCUUAAUAAUUGUUUUUGGUUUAAUUUAAACCACACCCAUGGGAGGGGCUAACCUGUUAAAAGCAGUGUAGGAAACUGCAUAGAGGGCAGUCUUUCUCUGGAGGUGCAUGUGGGAGCAAUGUACCUGAGCAUUUCUGAAAGCCUCUCAGCUGAAAGUAGAGCUGGGACCAGGUUGUGUUUUUUUUUUUUUUCUCUUGAUGUAAAUAUUUGUGUUCCACUGUAAAUAUUGAGCACCGGCACCAUUUUUGGAAAAAUAAAUGAAAGUCGACUUGCCA
Gouania willdenowi (blunt-snouted clingfish) is the source of this 3229-nucleotide long non-coding RNA. The record is from Ensembl. NCBI's taxonomy places the organism in Eukaryota, Metazoa, Chordata, Actinopteri, Blenniiformes, Gobiesocidae.